GACCCAGUAGCUCAGUUGGCAGAGCACUUGACUUUUAAUCAAGGUGUCCGGAGUUCGAAUCUCCGCUGGGUCA
This 73-nucleotide transfer RNA is filed under the name Anaerofustis stercorihominis DSM 17244. It matches the Rfam family "tRNA". From Rfam's summary of the family: Transfer RNA (tRNA) molecules are approximately 80 nucleotides in length. Their secondary structure includes four short double-helical elements and three loops (D, anti-codon, and T loops). The record is from Rfam by way of RNAcentral. Lineage: Bacteria; Bacillati; Bacillota; Clostridia; Eubacteriales; Eubacteriaceae.